This 3005-nucleotide ribosomal RNA is filed under the name Salmonella enterica. RNAcentral's name for it is "bacterial LSU rRNA". It matches the Rfam family "Bacterial large subunit ribosomal RNA". Lineage: Bacteria; Pseudomonadati; Pseudomonadota; Gammaproteobacteria; Enterobacterales; Enterobacteriaceae. The record is from RNAcentral.
UUAAGCGACUAAGCGUACACGGUGGAUGCCCUGGCAGUCAGAGGCGAUGAAGGGCGUGCUAAUCUGCGAUAAGCGCCGGUAAGGUGAUAUGAACCGUUAUAACCGGCGAUACCCGAAUGGGGAAACCCAGUGUGAUUCGUCACACUAUCAUUAACUGAAUCCAUAGGUUAAUGAGGCGAACCGGGGGAACUGAAACAUCUAAGUACCCCGAGGAAAAGAAAUCAACCGAGAUUCCCCCAGUAGCGGCGAGCGAACGGGGAGGAGCCCAGAGCCUGAAUCAGCAUGUGUGUUAGUGGAAGCGUCUGGAAAGGCGCGCGAUACAGGGUGACAGCCCCGUACACAAAAGCGCAUGUGCUGUGAGCUCGAUGAGUAGGGCGGGACACGUGGUAUCCUGUCUGAAUAUGGGGGGACCAUCCUCCAAGGCUAAAUACUCCUGACUGACCGAUAGUGAACCAGUACCGUGAGGGAAAGGCGAAAAGAACCCCGGCGAGGGGAGUGAAAAAGAACCUGAAACCGUGUACGUACAAGCAGUGGGAGCCCCACCACUAAGCCAGUGGUGAACUCCACAUACGCAUCCUUUGCUGAGGAUACGGUUAACGGAGCGAAAGCGACGUUCAACCGCAAAAGAAGCAGAGGGGGCUUAGUGGUGGGGUGACUGCGUACCUUUUGUAUAAUGGGUCAGCGACUUAUAUUCUGUAGCAAGGUUAACCGUAUAGGGGAGCCGUAGGGAAACCGAGUCUUAACCGGGCGUUAAGUUGCAGGGUAUAGACCCGAAACCCGGUGAUCUAGCCAUGGGCAGGUUGAAGGUUGGGUAACACUAACUGGAGGACCGAACCGACUAAUGUUGAAAAAUUAGCGGAUGACCUGUGGCUGGGGGUGAAAGGCCAAUCAAACCGGGAGAUAGCUGGUUCUCCCCGAAAGCUAUUUAGGUAGCGCCUCGUGAAUUCAUCUCCGGGGGUAGAGCACUGUUUCGGCUAGGGGGCCAUCCCGGCUUACCAACCCGAUGCAAACUGCGAAUACCGGAGAAUGUUAUCACGGGAGACACACGGCGGGUGCUAACGUCCGUCGUGAAGAGGGAAACAACCCAGACCGCCAGCUAAGGUCCCAAAGUCAUGGUUAAGUGGGAAACGAUGUGGGAAGGCCCAGACAGCCAGGAUGUUGGCUUAGAAGCAGCCAUCAUUUAAAGAAAGCGUAAUAGCUCACUGGUCGAGUCGGCCUGCGCGGAAGAUGUAACGGGGCUAAACCAUGCACCGAAGCUGCGGCAGCGACGCUUAUGCGUUGUUGGGUAGGGGAGCGUUCUGUAAGCCUGUGAAGGUGGCCUGUGAGGGUUGCUGGAGGUAUCAGAAGUGCGAAUGCUGACAUAAGUAACGAUAAAGCGGGUGAAAAGCCCGCUCGCCGGAAGACCAAGGGUUCCUGUCCAACGUUAAUCGGGGCAGGGUGAGUCGACCCCUAAGGCGAGGCCGAAAGGCGUAGUCGAUGGGAAACGGGUUAAUAUUCCCGUACUUGGUGUUACUGCGAAGGGGGGACGGAGAAGGCUAUGUUGGCCGGGCGACGGUUGUCCCGGUUUAAGCGUGUAGGUGUGUGUUCCAGGUAAAUCCGGUUCACUUUAACACUGAGGCGUGAUGACGAGGCACUACGGUGCUGAAGCAACAAAUGCCCUGCUUCCAGGAAAAGCCUCUAAGCAUCAGGUAACAUCAAAUCGUACCCCAAACCGACACAGGUGGUCAGGUAGAGAAUACCAAGGCGCUUGAGAGAACUCGGGUGAAGGAACUAGGCAAAAUGGUGCCGUAACUUCGGGAGAAGGCACGCUGACACGUAGGUGAAGUGAUUUACUCAUGGAGCUGAAGUCAGUCGAAGAUACCAGCUGGCUGCAACUGUUUAUUAAAAACACAGCACUGUGCAAACACGAAAGUGGACGUAUACGGUGUGACGCCUGCCCGGUGCCGGAAGGUUAAUUGAUGGGGUCAGCGCAAGCGAAGCUCCUGAUCGAAGCCCCGGUAAACGGCGGCCGUAACUAUAACGGUCCUAAGGUAGCGAAAUUCCUUGUCGGGUAAGUUCCGACCUGCACGAAUGGCGUAAUGAUGGCCAGGCUGUCUCCACCCGAGACUCAGUGAAAUUGAACUCGCUGUGAAGAUGCAGUGUACCCGCGGCAAGACGGAAAGACCCCGUGAACCUUUACUAUAGCUUGACACUGAACAUUGAGCCUUGAUGUGUAGGAUAGGUGGGAGGCUUUGAAGUGUGGACGCCAGUCUGCAUGGAGCCGGCCUUGAAAUACCACCCUUUAAUGUUUGAUGUUCUAACGUGGACCCGUGAUCCGGGUUGCGGACAGUGUCUGGUGGGUAGUUUGACUGGGGCGGUCUCCUCCUAAAGAGUAACGGAGGAGCACGAAGGUUGGCUAAUCCUGGUCGGACAUCAGGAGGUUAGUGCAAUGGCAUAAGCCAGCUUGACUGCGAGCGUGACGGCGCGAGCAGGUGCGAAAGCAGGUCAUAGUGAUCCGGUGGUUCUGAAUGGAAGGGCCAUCGCUCAACGGAUAAAAGGUACUCCGGGGAUAACAGGCUGAUACCGCCCAAGAGUUCAUAUCGACGGCGGUGUUUGGCACCUCGAUGUCGGCUCAUCACAUCCUGGGGCUGAAGUAGGUCCCAAGGGUAUGGCUGUUCGCCAUUUAAAGUGGUACGCGAGCUGGGUUUAGAACGUCGUGAGACAGUUCGGUCCCUAUCUGCCGUGGGCGCUGGAGAACUGAGGGGGGCUGCUCCUAGUACGAGAGGACCGGAGUGGACGCAUCACUGGUGUUCGGGUUGUCAUGCCAAUGGCACUGCCCGGUAGCUAAAUGCGGAAGAGAUAAGUGCUGAAAGCAUCUAAGCACGAAACUUGCCCCGAGAUGAGUUCUCCCUGAGACUUAGAGUCUCCUGAAGGAACGUUGAAGACGACGACGUUGAUAGGCCGGGUGUGUAAGCGCAGCGAUGCGUUGAGCUAACCGGUACUAAUGAACCGUGAGGCUUAACCUU